Ciona intestinalis (vase tunicate) is the source of this 811-nucleotide non-coding RNA. Lineage: Eukaryota; Metazoa; Chordata; Ascidiacea; Phlebobranchia; Cionidae. The record is from RefSeq and is a predicted model, not a curated record.
UUUCAUUGAAACCAGGACUUUUGCGUGUUUUUUUACAGAGAAAGGCGAACUAUAUAGUUAAUAGUAUAUACCUACCGAAAGGGAACCAUGUGACAGCAGUGUGACGUUAUGUGAUAAAAGCGAAAACCUUUGAGGUCACAUGACAAAUCUCAUGAAAAUAACCCCCCAUCGGUUGGUUAAUGAAAUCCCGUGCUGACGCCUUCACAUGUCCGACCUCUGUACCUCGUGAACUCACUAUUAUAUUUUGUAGCAACCCGAAAAACAUACAUGACAAUGUUGCUGACUCAUCAUUUAAAGGAAGUUUGCGAUGGCAGGAGUGGAUAAUACAGUUGUCAACAUCCCAACGAUGUUCCCCUCCACUAAGGAAGGAGGGAUUUGAUCCCGGAUGCGGGGAAGGCUUCGUCUUUUACGUUUUAAUCAUCUCAAACCACUAAAGGAAUUGAAACUCAAUGAUGCGACACAUGCAGUCAUGGAUGGACGACCUUCGGACAGACAGGUGAACAUUAAGUGGAUCCGACAGGGAAGAUAUGGAAUCGAUGGAAGAAUCCCCUUUAUUAGGGUGAGUGUGAUGUCAUAAUAAUAUGUGUCAUAUCAUAGUAAUGUUUGCUCACUAUUGAGUUAUAACUUACUAUAAUUAGACAGUGGUUUUAUUAUAAAUGAUGCAUUUAUCUCAUAGUUACUAUACAAGUUUAGGGCAUUAGUAAUGUUGGACUACUAGCACCUUAUAAUUGCCAUGCUUUAACUAUUGUCAUGUUGAUUGUCACAUUAUCAACAUAUUUAUUAUUGUUAUCUGGUUAUCUUCAUAUCUUUA